GGAGGAGCCGGCCGGCGAGGCCGCGGCGGCGGCGGCCCUCGUGCCCGGGAGCGCCGAGGUGAAACCGUGCGCCGCGCCCGAGCGGGUCGUGGACCCCAGCGACAUCAGCCCCAGCGCCCUGCACGCCGCCGUGAGGGACUCCCAGCUGAACAUCGUCCAGGUGGAGGACGACGUCCCCGGGCUGGGCGCCUCCUGCCUCUACCUGGUCCCCUCCGCGCCGGGGGAGGGGGAGCAGGAGGAGGUGGGGGCCCCUCUCCGCGGUCGGGAGGCCGGGGCGGGGCCGGCCGAGGCCGAGGAGCCCGGGAAGAGAGAGCCCAAGGAAAACGGGCUCGUGCGGAUUUACACGGGCGUGUGCGAGCAGCUCAUGGCCCUGAACGAGGGGGACGGGAAUCUGGACCCCGGCCGGCACGCUCAGCGGGAAGCCGGACGGAACCCGCGCUGCCCGCCGGCCUGCGCCCCCGCUGAAUCGCUGUCCUGUCGGAGCGCUCGGCCUGGACGCAGCGCGGCAGAGCUCGGGCCCGGCGCGGAUCUCGCCGCGGGGGAGAGCAUCGCGCCUGUCAAGCGAGCCCGGGAGGAGGCCCUCGCCCGCAGCGCGCAGGGGCCGGGCCCCGUCAUCAAGAGGGUCUUCGACCAGGAGUGGUGCAGCUCCCUGUGGAGCUCCGCCGAGCCGGCCUGCGAGAGCAGCAGGGUCCCCCGACCGGACCGCCGGGACGCUGCCCACGCCGGGGCAGGGGUCUCCGAGCUGCGGGGGGCCGCGGUGAAGCAGGAGGUCGAUGAGCGGAGGGGGUUUCCCACGGCGGCGCCGGGCUCCCACCUGAGCUUGGUCCAGGUUAAAGACGAGCGCCCUGACCUGGGCACUGCCCCUCUUUACUCUGCCCGUGCCCACCCUGCGCCAGGAGAGCGCCGGUCUCUCCGUGUGAUGGAGGAUGUGUCCGGGCUGGCAGGGGGGCCCAUCAAGAGGGAGGCGGUUGAGGAGGAGCUGGUGCAGGUGUGUAUGAACGCGGAGGACAGCAGGCCGGAUUCCAGGCCUCAAGCGGAAAGGACGCCCCAGUGCGCGAGGAUGCCCGCCAGCGACCGCAGGACCCCCGGAGGCGCCCGUGUGGCCUUCGAGCGGGCGUCUGAGUCGGUGCCCGCCCAGAUCAAGCCCUUCCUGCGCAGGGUGAGGUACACGGUGUACCACGGGCCCGGGGCGGAGACCGGGUGCAAGGAGGAGCUGGACAGGGAGGAGGGACAGGGGGAGCCCACCGUCGUCGUCGUGUGUAAGUGUCGCCGCCUCACUGCUUCCUUCAGCUUCCAGCUGGAGAGAGAGUUAGGAGCACCCAGGGCAGAGGUGAAUGCAGAAUACUUUCGGGUGGCAGGAGGGUAGAACAAGCUGCUCAGCCAUGUUGUUGAAGCCGAUACCCUGGCUUCUCUCCAGACACAGCUGGGUGAGACCCUCCAGUCAGGACAGGAGGCUCUUCUUUACACAAAGGGGGGGUUGGGGUGUGGGACAAGCUGCCUAGCUGUAUUGUUGAAGCCGAUACCCUGGCUGCUCUCCAGACACAGCUGGGUGAGACCCUCCAGUCAGGACAGGAGGCUCUUCUUUACACAAAGGGGGGGUUGGGGUGUGGGACAAGCUGCCUAGCUGUAUUGUUGAAGCCGAUACCCUGGCUGCUCUCCAGACACAGCUGGGUGAGCUCCUCCAGUCAGCACAGGAGGCUCUUCUUUACACAGAGGGUGGUGGGAGUGUGGAACAAGCUGUUGUUGACACCUGUACUCUGGUUUCUCUCCAGAAACUGCGGGAUGAGAUGUCAAAAGGCGCAGAAAAAUAACUAUUUUGUUUACGUGCAUCAGUGCUUCUCAAACUGCAGGCCUUGGAAAUGCUUUUGUGGUUGCCCAGCUGUUGUCUAAGCUAUAGAUUAAGGAAACGGCCUUGAGAUAAUGACUGGAAUGUGUUGGCUCAAGGUCUCAGGCUCUGUGGAAGUGAGGCAUGAGUUGACUUUGUAAAAGCUGCAGUACUGGGAGUCCGUUCAUAACGAGGUCGUUAAGAGAAGGCCUGUUCCACUCUGAAACAAACCUGCCUGCGUCUUGCUGUGCAGUAUCACAGAGCCAGAAAGCCCCAGCAGGUUUUGUCCAGUCUGUCCUGCAGGGCAGUCUCAAUGCCAUGCUGCUGUUUGUACAGAGCUCGGUAAAAGCAGAAUCUGCAGGAAGCCGUCUCCUGCUCAGCUACUGAAGAAUUUCCCACAGGAAUAGCUCUCAGGCUCUGGAUUGAUCCUUGUUUAAUCAGCUCAGGUGAGGCAGGUAGCCUUGUUGUGACAGAAGAGUUCUUGCUCCGGGAUGAGAGUGAAAACAGAUAGGCUUUAUUAUGUGCCUACAAGGACCGCCUCCAACGGUAGGGGUGUUCAGAGAAUACAAAGCACGCAGCUACCUUUAGACAGCCCAGUAACGUCAAGAUUUCCAUGGCUACAAGGAAUUUGUCAGGGUGUAUGGUUAAGAUCGUGUUCAGAACAAUUGGCCAUUAAGAGAAGUUGUGGUUAUCUGUCUGCCCAGAAUUCCAGAGGUCAUGAUGCUUGCCCUCCCUUACAGCCUUGAAAUACGCUGAAGUUUCAAAGAUAAUCACAAUUCCCGAACACAGACCUGAGCCAUGUAGAUAUACCCCAAUCAUCAGGAUUAUAGCUGUGGCACUUUUGGCCCUCGUCAUAAAUAUGUUGGCCUCAAUCAGUGAUAUGUUCAGAAGUGUCAGGAGCAUAGGUGCAGCUUUCAGCACCUAUUACAGCACCCUGUGCAGCCAGCAAGUAAUCAAGAGCCACCCAGUUUUGCAUAGCAACCGUUCGGAGAGCUACCAUUUCAUCGUUUAUAGCUUUUGUCCCCUCAGAGGUUUCCUCGGCUAAUUUUUCUCAGCAAGCAGCCAUGUUAAUACAUCCCCGAGCAAGCGUAGCUAUCCCAUACAUGGGGAAAGAGAUGGCACGGGAUCGCUCGGUCUCCGUAAUCUCCCGUUUAAUUAGCAGCACCUAUACCCAUAGAACAGAACAACACAUUCUCACUUUUUCGGCCAGGUCACAGUAUUAUUACACUGAACUGUAUCUUAGAAUACUGCUUCUUCCCUUUCGGACAAAACAUUUAUCACCUUAACAGCGGAUUAUCAGCCUAAUAGAGGGUGGCCUUGAACUGUGAUUGUAGUUCUGGUUUUCUGGAGUCUUUCUGGAGAAGUGUUGUGUGAGACCCCAGGACAAGUAAGGCACUAGCAGCCAAACAAGCUUGCAUAGGCCAAAGGGCCUCUCCUUCCUCACCUUUGUGUGUUUGUUAAUUGUGUUUGUUUUGGGCUUUUUUUUUUAUUUUCCACAGUGCAAACAGGCGCCCAGGCACCUUGCAGAACGGGGUCCGGCAGCUGGCCUGUCCGUCAGAUGAGAACCCCCAGAAUGAGACCGUUGGCGCCCCUGAACACACCCCAGGUCAUUUUUUCUGCUUUUUCAGCCUUUCUGCUGGUUAUAGUCUAGUGCAGCGGUUCUCAAACUUUUUGGACCAAGUGCCACCCCUGAUCAAACCAAGUGCCACCUCCAGGUCAUCUUCUCAUAGGAACCCCAGAAAAUCUCAAUGACCAAACAUGACUCACGGACGCCUAUAAUACCAAAUUUCACCGAGCACUUAGUUCAUUUGGAUUGGAACAGCCUGUAGCUUUUUUCUGACGCUUUCUAACACUAGCAGUGCUGUCUGUGUCAGGCUCAGUGUCGGAGCUAGUGUCGGCGGUCGUCGGGAUUAACAUACACACAUUUCCUACCCUCAAACACAGUGCCAAAGCGAAAGUGUAAAUUCACAGCGGAACUAAAAAAAUCAGUUUCCGUGUUUUUCGAAGUGGCAGAGCAGACUGGGAAGCUGAGUGUUUGAUGUGCAAGCCUGCUACGUUUGUCUCCGUGGCAGAUAAAGGAGUAGUUGACUUGCAAGCUCUUGUUGACUCGGACAAACACAAAAAGGCCAUUCGGGGAGAGGAGUUCGUCAACCAAAUGAACAGAUUCUUUUGUCAAAUCUGGCAGCAAAAGAGUGGAUGCUGUUAUUGCAGCAGAGCGGGCUUAUGCAUUUCACACAGUUAAAUCUCAUCACAGUUACUUUACCAAUGAACAUGAAACGUGGGGUAUUUUGAAAACCCUCUCCAUCCCCAUCCCCUUUCCCAGACAAGGCAACAGGACAGUUCCUCAGGGUGUCCUCUUGUCUUGAUGUGGCCGAUGUAUAAUCCUGCUGGUGCUCAGCGGGUGUGCGUGAUCUGUCUGAGCCGGCGUCCGUACUCUUGGCGUCUGUUCCUUUCAGCCAGGACAUAGUACUUGAUUUUUGCGAGGUGUUCAAUUUCGAUCACUUGUUCAGUGGCGAGCGUGGCGCUCAGCUGCGUCUCUGGAAGCUCGAGAGGAGUCUGCACACUCGAGUAUUAGCGCGCGCUGUAUCGACGUAGCACAGUACGUGCGCUGCGUAUUUGACACACAAACGCAUUUUUGCCCCCGUCUCAAGCUUUCUGAAACCGAUUAAGUCAAUUCCUGAUGAAAACUUGAAAUCAUUUCAGCCAAUUUUUAAUUUAAAAAAAAAAUUUUUUCAGUGCACACAACAAAUUUCCAGAGUCGUCUGGCGUACCACCUGGGGGGUGCUCCGUGUACCACAGUUUGAGAACCACUGGUCCAGUGCUCACAACCCAGUUCUCUCACCCCCUCCCUGUGGCAGACAUUCCAGUUCCGUCACAGGAUGAACCGAGGGGCUGUGGUCCGUCUGUCCCGGGACCCUGCAGCUCCUGAGGGGGCCUCUGGCCCCGGGACCCUGCAGCUCCUGAGGGG
RNAcentral lists this long non-coding RNA (4793 nucleotides) under Lepisosteus oculatus (spotted gar). RNAcentral's name for it is "lncRNA (ENSLOCG00000022548.1)". Lineage: Eukaryota; Metazoa; Chordata; Actinopteri; Semionotiformes; Lepisosteidae. The record is from RNAcentral.